Molecule: long non-coding RNA, 843 nt
Filed under: Mytilus galloprovincialis (Mediterranean mussel)
Lineage: Eukaryota; Metazoa; Mollusca; Bivalvia; Mytilida; Mytilidae
Source: RNAcentral
CUUAAUUCUUUCAUAUGUACUAAACAAUUAUACUUCUAAUAAUGAUAAAUAAUAAAUAUUAUUAUUCAGCAAAUGGCUUUUAAAUAGUUUUACGUAUUAAUGGUUUUGAUGUUCUUAAAGGUACAACUUAAGAUUAGUAGUGCAAAAGGCGAAAAAUGGUUUGUUGUUGAGAACUCGGGCUGAGAAAAGUGUUCACUUUUUAAAGUAUUGAACUGCACAUCUACUCUUAUUACUGUCAUUAUACUUUGAACAAUGGAUGAACAGAUUCCUAUUACCAAUUUUGUUUUGGAUGAAAAAUUUUAAACUUGGGAUGCGUUUGAUACGAAACUGAAACAAUAUCAAGACACAAAAUUUCUUACAGCUAUAGGAACAAACUCUGAAAAAAAUGAUACAUCAAAAGCAAGGUUUGCUAACUGCUAAGUUGGAUACUGAAAUUUGAGGUAAACCUAAAAUCCGUAAUGGACGGCAGUACGAUCAUAUUGAAAGACGACAUGAAACUAUACCACAUGCUUUCAACCAAAAUAUUGGAUGAGGAAGUAUUUCUCACCAGAAGCAUGGCAAACAUUUAAGGUUGCCUUAUCUUCUAAAAGGAAUAUUGCAGAAUAGAAUUGCACGGUAUGCAAUACAGACGUUCGUAAUGCGGCAUCACUGGUGUGUGAUGGCUGCUUGGAGUGGAUUCAUCAAAAAUGCGUCGGACUUAAACAUGCUCCAAAACCACUUACUCGGGAUAUGUAGAAACUGUCAUUGUAAAUACAAAAAUAAAGAAAUUGUAUGUAAUAAGUGUAUGUAUUGUAAAUAUAAAAUAAACGUCAUCAAUUUUUAUAAAUUAGUACAUAUUACAAG